AUCCGGCCUGGCCCUUUGCCUUGAGCUUUGCACGUGUUUCUUCCCUCCCUCCAUCCGUCAUCUAUUUAAUGUGUGGUGUGCGCGGUUAAUUGCCAGUUGGAAGUCGGAAAGCUCCAGCUAUCAACGUUGCGAUUGUGUGUUUGAAGGAAUCGUAAUUCUGGCGAGCAAAUGUUUCUGUACGCAAGAUUGCGUGGCGAAGCCAACCAAAUGUCAGAUGUGCAUGAUUCACGUGAGCUAUAAAAUUUGAUAACUUGAGCCUGAGUAUGUACCUUCAGGAUCAUGUCUUGGGUUGAAGUAAGAGUUGCUUCUCUUGUGUUUCAUAUUGCUGUGCUGCACUGUAAAAUUUGCUAUGGCGGUGAGGCAAUUGCUGCUGGUCGUUCCAUUCAAGUUCAUCUGUAGUGGUGUUUCUUUGACUGCUGAGUUUUUCUCAGGUGUUAGAGAUGGCCAUGCAUUCUGGUUGUUGGAUGCAGGUAUUUGGGCUGUGAGAUGGGUUUUGGUUGGUGCUGAUAUAGGAACCUUUCGUUUAAGAUUGUUUUGAAGGAGACAAGUAUGGUUAUUCCAGAGUUUCAUUGGCGGGGCUGGCGCUGUUGUCGACGCUGUUUGUCGGUAGGUUUACAUUAUGUCGUUGAGUUCUGAGCUUAUCCCUGUUGAAUUUUCACGUUGCUUCCAUGGCUUCCGAAAAUCUCGCAUUUGGGAGUCACAUACGGGGUGCACUGUUUGCUAUAGGUAAUCCCGUGGAUGUCUAAAACUGGGCCUGGCUCUUGUUGUAGGGCUAUUAAUAACACAGAUUGUACGUUCACGUACGAUUGAGUUUUAUUUAACUGCAAAACUCAAUUCAUACUAGUCUGUCGAAAGCCAAGUAAAUUGCUUCGCGUUUGAGGGGAUUCGAAUGUUUACAUAUUAACUUUUGUCAUGUCGUUUGCUUUCAAUUUACUGUUAUCUGUUUCAUUAGGGGUAACUUGGCUGUUUGUAAAGUCAAUAGUCGUUGGGAUUACAAAUAAGUUGGUUUUCGCUUGGUAUGGUCGUUGGGGUGUUAUAAAUUCAUGGGUGAGAUAAAUAAUCUUCUGCGUCCUUUGCUUUACCGUUUCUAGAUGCUUGUGACACUGUGGUGAUAAGAUUCGAAGGUGUUGUCUAUGUCAGAUCAUUCUCUCCAGUUCUGAGCUGAUUAUGAUUGGCGCAAGCUAUGCCAGGGAUGGAAUGCUGCAUAUACUUGUUAGGGUGGGUAAAAUGUUUUAAGUGUUUAGUAUUCUCGCGAAGAAUGGUGUUUCGUUUUUAUAGUUUGUUUUGAGACAAAAAUUUUUUUUUUCGAAUUUUCGAGAUAGGGAAAAUGGGGGAAAAUAAAACAUUUUAUGAACGUAGGUUACCCAACCACUAAAAAUAUGAAAUAAUUCACACGAUAUGCUGAAUUUUUGUGCAUAAUUUACAUGUGCAUACCAAAGUGAUACCGUGCAUGAUUUAAUUAAAAAUUACAGUAUGUGAAGCAUUGGAUCAGUAGGGAAACCCAAAAUUAUUAUCUUAGCGGACUCAGCGCCACUAUGCGGUACCUCACGCGCAUCGCUACAGAGGGAUAUAAGCGUUAGCGAUCUUCCACUUCGUUGUCUAUGGUCACAUAGAGCUUGAUCACAUAACAAGUAUAAAUGCGCAGCAGCGCCAUCUCGUUUUACAAUUUAUUAAAAAAAAUACAAGCUUAAAAAACUUGCUCAUUUUUUAUUGCGAGAACUGCAUUGAUAUGAACUUUUUGAUUCUAAUUCUAAUACUACUAAUUAUAGAGCGGUACAUAUCCAGUUUAUGUCAAUGCAAAAAGUCCGUGAACAAAACAAUAAAACUAACAUUAAAUAAAUUCUUCAUUAAGCAUACUUCUACGUGAAAGUUUCCGAGUAAAUUCAAGAAUGGAGAUCCAACUCUAGCAGAAUAUUGAAAGUCAAUAGCACUUCUUUUAAGACUUGAAGGUUUAUUUCAACAACAACAAAUUUUCAGUUACAAACUCUGAAUAUCCAGAUUCAUUGAGAAAUGAAUACUUCCUGUUUAAGCUUUUCAAUUAACAUCAAUUUCCCGAUAGGGAUUCUAUCAAACCUCGCAUUUCCCAACCCCCUUCAAGGCCGGGCUUUGUGCGUCGCCUGGCAACGGACUGGUUUUUCCACAGGCCGUGUGAGGUUGUCAACAUGGUCUCACUACAUAUGUAUUAAGGUCAUGCAAAACCAUUCGUCAGCCACAUUUACAGGACAAUCAUUAACGCACAUUUUGUGGUACAAAACAGAUUUUCUGUUUCGACAGUCUCGUGAGAUCUCGUGGCACGACUUUGAAUGGAUGGAAAUGGAGUCAUGCAUGCCAAAUUUUAUUUCCCUAACUUGUAAAAUGAUGAAACACCACACGAAAAAUGAGUUCCGUCUCCCUUUUUACUACCCAAAAACCGCUUCCGUGUUUAACACAGAGUUUACGGGGAAACGGCUUUAGCGAAAAUCACUGCCGUUAGUUAUCUUUAAUCCCCUCCUCUUCCGUUUUUGUCUUAUGUUAAAGAGCUAAUUCUCUUCUACAAACCCAGUAAAAGAUUUUUGGAAGGGGGAAUUAGUUUUAAAGUUAUUAGAUUUUAUAUACAGCCCAUAUUUCCUGAAAUUUUCUAAAUAUUGGUCUUAUAGUUUUUCAUUUACAUAUUAAAAACCAUAAAUGAAGUUGGUGCGCUAA
RNAcentral lists this unclassified non-coding RNA (2682 nucleotides) under Daphnia magna. Its description in RNAcentral is "uncharacterized LOC116935433, transcript variant X5". Lineage: Eukaryota; Metazoa; Arthropoda; Branchiopoda; Diplostraca; Daphniidae. The record is from RNAcentral.